RNAcentral lists this long non-coding RNA (4539 nucleotides) under Mytilus galloprovincialis (Mediterranean mussel). Lineage: Eukaryota; Metazoa; Mollusca; Bivalvia; Mytilida; Mytilidae. The record is from RNAcentral.
UUUGUAGAGAAAUUUAUUAUUUUAUCAACCGUAUCAAUAACAGAUAUUCAUCAAAUACAACAUGCAUGCUGCCUUAACUUGUCAAACAGAAAAUAUAUUUGUCAAGCACUAAAAUUCAUGUUUGAACCACCUAAACAUGUCAAUACUUUUAAAGCCUUAUACACAACUUGACAUUUUAAUAAAAAGAUGGAGGACGUUGGAUAAUGGUGAAUGUGACAACAGCUCAGUGCUGAAAAGUUACUAAAAUGUACCUAUAUUCUUACGGUCACAAUAUCAGAUGCAAAAGAUUACUAGCAGUCAGCCAGACUGUCACAGCGACAAAUUCAACCUUUGUUUGUUGAUACGAUGAUCAAACAUCAGACACCUUCAUAAAAUGUUAAUUCCUUCCUCCCCUUGAAAAAAAAUCCAAAUAAGAGGCAGGGAGGAACCUUGACUAGAUUUUAGACUUAAUACAAAUAGUAUCCCAACCUCCAAUCUAUCAUUUUGAAUAGUAGACAUAAUGAACCCUUAAAAUUUCACAUCUGUUCUUUUUUGUACUUAUGGUUUUUCAUUCAACAAAAAAUAUAGAUUUGUAAACAGAAUCCAAAGGUAUUCUCAGUGAGAAGAUCAAAGUUAAAUCUGUAUGAUUGGUUGAUUAACAGGUGAAAAGAUCAUACUGCUCACCAGGAAACAGAUUUAAUAUGUUAUACAUCUUUAAAGCACUUUUGCUAUUAAAAUCGUCAAACUCUAUUGAAAAAGAGAAAACUGUUGAUCUCCUGAAAACUAGUUUUUAAGGUGGUACAUAACACUACAGGGAGAUAACUCUGUAAAAUCAGCUGAAUGUUUUAAACACAAUCUAUUUAAAAGCUCCUCAAUGAUUAAAAUAAGUUUUUUCCAAAUUGCUUUGUAUCCAAUAAAAUUUUUCAGACAAAGUGUGUGGUUCAUUUUUUGAAAUUUAAAAAUUUUUUGUAAUAUGAUCGGAAUAAAUAUUUCGUCAAAUUUUUAUGAAAAUUAAAGAGCCAAAUUAAUUUUAGUCAAGGUGUUAGGUACCACCUUAAGGGCAUACGAUACAGUUACAGGGGAGGUAAUGACGUUGCUAACGUAAAAUGUUCGCAACGUCAAACUGUGACAUAUCGGUAAAAGAUGCAUUUUCGACUGAUUUUUAUCAUUCAAAGUUUCAAACGGAUUUAAUUGGAAAACCAGAGCAUGGACCCCUACUUUUUAAAACAACAUUUUGUUUUAUUUUGCAGGGAGAUUAUGUUGACCAAAUUUUAUAAAACUGUAAAUAGUGCAAUUUUUUUUUAAUUUUGAUCAAUAUACAGCAAAAAUGACGUUUUUUUUUUUUCUCAAUUCAUCACCAUUUGAUAAAUAUAAGUUAUUUCUGAAAAAAAAAUGCAUAAAUUUUUAUGAUACUUAUAAAAUACAGAAAUUACAAAUUAUUUAACAAAAACAAUUUGUGUUUAUCUUUUAAAACAAAAAAAUUAUGCCUUUCUUUCGAAAGGCGAAAUACGGCCACAAAUCCGAAUUUUGUGCAAAUGUACAAAAUUUCGACCUCAUUUCACUCAAAAAGUAGCACAUGCAGGUAUAUUUUUUAUUACAUAUUUGAUUUAAUCAGGUAAAAAAUAGCCAAUAUGGAAAUUUUCAUUAAACUUUAAAUACGGGAUCAAAACUGUAUCGUAUGCCCUUAAUGGCCUUGUGUAGAUUUCUUUUGAAUUUCAUGUCAGAUUUAUCUCUUUAUAUUACUUUUGUCAUGGAAGCCAUGUCAACUUAUUAGUUAAGAAUUUUUAAAGAAGGCAGCCUCCUUUAGUGAAAAUUAUGGGCAAAGUUUUCCCAAUUUGGCUCAUUGCAUUCAUUGGAAAUCAUUUUGAUAAAGAGAUUGACAAAUGAUUACCAAUUGAUGGCAAAACCUCACAUCACACCUAGGGCUAGGUGUUAAAACUAGAGGCUCUAAAGAGCCUGUGUCGCUCACCUUGGUCUAUGUGAAUAUUAAACAAAGGAAGCAGAUUGAAAAUUGACUACAAAGGUCAAUAACUCCUACAGGGGUCAAUUGACCAUUUCGUUCAUGUUGACUUAUUUGUAGAUCUUACUUUGCUGAACAUUAUUGCUGUUUACAGUUUACCUAUAUCUAUAAUAAUAUUCAAUAUAAUAACCAAAAAGAGCAAAAUUUCCUUAAAAUUACCAAUUCAGGGGCCGCAACCCAAAAACAGGUUGUCCAAUUCAUCUGAAAAUUUCAGGGCAGAUAGAUCUUACCUGAUUAACAAUUUUACUUCAUGUCAGAUUUUCUCUAAAUUAUUUGGUUUUUGAGUUAUAAGCCAAAAACUGCAUUUUACCCCUAUGUUCUAUUUUUAGCCGUGGCGGCCAUCUUGGUUUGAUGGCCAGGUCACCGGACACAUUUUUUAAACAAGAAACCCCAAAGAUGAUUGUGGCCAAGUUUGGAUCAAUUUGGCACAGCAUUUCAGAGAAGAAGAUUUUAGUAAAAGAUAUAUAAAAUUUACGAAAAAUGGUUAAAAAUUGACUUUAAAAGGGCAAUAACUCCUAAAGAGGUCAACUGACCAUUUUGGUCAUGUUGACUUAUUUGUAAAUCUGACCUUGCUGAACAUUAUUGCUGUUUACAGUUUACCUAUAUCUAUAAUAAUAUUCAAUAUAAUAACCAAAAACAGCAAAAUUUCCUUAAAAUUACUAAUUCAGGGGCCGCAACCCAAAAACAGGUUGUCCAAUUCAUCUGAAAAUUUCAGGGCAGAUAGAUCUUCACCUGAUUAACAAUUUUACCCAAUGUCAGAUUUGCUCUAAAUGCUUUGGUUUUUGAGUUAUAAGCCAAAAAACUGCAUUUUACCCCUAUGUUCUAUUUAUAGCCAUGGCGGUCAUCUUGGUUAGUUGGCGGGGUCACCGGACACAAUUUUUAAACUAUAUACCCCAAUGAUGAUUGUGGCCAAGUUUCAAAUAAUUUGGCCCAGCAGUUUCAGAGGAGAAGAUUUUUCUAAAAGAUUACUAAGAUUUACGAAAAAUGGUUAAAAAUUGACUAUAAAGGGCAAUAACUCCUAAAGUGGUCAACUGAUCAUUUUGGUCAUGUUGACUUAUUUGUAGAUCUUACUUUGCUGAACAUUAUUGCUUUUUACAGUUUAUCUCUAUCUGAAAUAAUAUUCAAGAUAAUAACCAAAAACAACAAAAUUUCCUUAAAAUUACCAAUUCAGGGGCAGCAACCUAACAACGGAAUGUCAGAUUCAUCUGAAAAUUUCAGGGCAGAUAGAUCUUAACCUGAUUAACAAUAUUACACCAUGUCAGAUUUGCCCUAAAUGCUUUGGUUUUUGAGUUAUAAGCCAAAAACUGCAUUUUACCCCUAUGUUCUAUUUAUAGCCAUGGCGGCCAUCUUGGUUAGUUGGCGGGGUCACCGGACACAAUUUUUAAACUAGAUACCCCAAUGAUGAUUGUGGCCAAGUUUGGUUAAAUUUGGCUUAGUAGUUUCAGAGGAGAAGAUUUUUGUAAAAGUUAACGCCGGACGCAGGACGACGACGACGGACGACGACGACGGACGCCGGACGCCAAGUGAUGAGAAAAGCUCACUUGGCCCUUUGGGCCAGGUGAGCUAAAAAAUGAUACUUUGUAUCAUAUCUCAUAAACAGGAUAAAUUUAAUACAAGUGCUUAAAUAAGUCCCUUUAACAACAAUUGAGCAGCAUAGGAUAGAAAUCAACAUUAUGCACAUGAAUAUUCAUACAUCUGUUUAAUUAUUUUGUGGAUUGAAAAAAAUCUGUACGGAAAUUUUGAAAUUGUUUGAAAAUUGAGUUGACAUAAAAACCCUACAAAAUAUAACAACAUUCACCUUUUAUUUCGUAUUUUAAUGUUCCAAAGCAAAUCAAAGUAUCACAUAUGUAUAUGUAUACAUAGGGCACUUGCAUAAGGUUGACUUCUAUCUGAUGUUGCUCAUUAUAUAAACAAAUUGAAUGAUUAAUUCUCAUUCCUCAAUAUAUUAGAAUUGCUUUCCUUGCAGAGAGAAUAAAAAAUAUCCUAAAACACAUUAUAUGUACUAGCAAAAACUGACAAGUUCAAGAAAACACUUUAAAAUACAUAAUAACAGUUAUGAAGAUAACCUGUUUGCACUAAAAUAUCAUUGUCUUAAACUGACAAUUAUAAUAUUUUGCUUGUAACAUUUACUGUAAAGCUCAAACCAGCAUAAACACAAAAGGGAUCUUCAUUAGUCUAUAUGUGGGAAACCAAUAAUAUUGUCAUGUAAAUUAUAAUAAACUAGAACCAGAUGCUCCGCAGGGCGUAGCUUUAUACGACCGCAGAGGUUGAACCCUGAACGGUUGGGGCAAGUAUGGACACAACAUUCAAGCUGGAUUCAGCUCUAAAUUUGGAUUGUGAUUAAAUAGUUGACACAGCAUAGGUUUCUGACACAGAAUGAAUGUGUUCUAAUGAACUUAAAAUUUUUGUUUUCUCUUAGAGCAAUUUACUAUGCUGUUGAAUAUUAAUCCUCUCAAAAAAAUGUUUGAAGAAAUUUUCUUUUUUAUUUAUGAAAUUUCAAAUGAGAAAAAUUUAUCCCAAUUUUUUUAAUCACAUCCCCC